UGGGGAAUUUUGGACAAUGGGCGAAAGCCUGAUCCAGCAAUGCCGCGUGUGUGAAGAAGGCCUUCGGGUUGUAAAGCACUUUUGUCCGGAAAGAAAUCCUUGGCUCUAAUACAGUCGGGGGAUGACGGUACCGGAAGAAUAAGCACCGGCUAACUACGUGCCAGCAGCCGCGGUAAUACGUAGGGUGCAAGCGUUAAUCGGAAUUACUGGGCGUAAAGCGUGCGCAGGCGGUUUGCUAAGACCGAUGUGAAAUCCCCGGGCUCAACCUGGGAACUGCAUUGGUGACUGGCAGGCUAGAGUAUGGCAGAGGGGGGUAGAAUUCCACGUGUAGCAGUGAAAUGCGUAGAGAUGUGGAGGAAUACCGAUGGCGAAGGCAGCCCCCUGGGCCAAUACUGACGCUCAUGCACGAAAGCGUGGGGAGCAAACAGGAUUAGAUACCCUGGUAGUCCACGCCCUAAAACGAUGUCAACUAGUUGUUGGGGAUUCAUUUCCUUAGUAACGUAGCUAACGCGUGAAGUUGACCGCCUGGGGAGUACGGUCGCAAGAUUAAAACUCAAAUGAAUUGACGAGGUCAUAGCUGUUCCU
Molecule: ribosomal RNA, 585 nt
Filed under: uncultured bacterium
Lineage: Bacteria
Description: partial 16S ribosomal RNA
Rfam family: Bacterial small subunit ribosomal RNA
Source: RNAcentral